Molecule: non-coding RNA, 114 nt
Organism: Acanthosepion pharaonis
Lineage: Eukaryota; Metazoa; Mollusca; Cephalopoda; Sepiida; Sepiidae
Source: the annotation of a GenBank genome assembly
UUGCGGCCACAUCGCGUUGAAAGACCAAUUUCCGUACGAUCACCGCUGUUAAGCAACGUCCAGCCUGGUCAGUACCAAGAUGGGUGACCGCUUGGGGAUACCAGGUACUGUAAG